CCUGGCUCUGUCAUGUAAUUUUCGUCGGUCUGGUGCCGACCCUCCUGCUCCUUGUUCUGGGGGCGAGCGCUGUGGCCAUCACUAAGGGCAGGAAGAAACGCCAAGCAGGCAAUCCUGGCAAAAGCAUCAGCUCCUGGAGAAAGAAUUCAGAACACGACACCUACGCUCAGCUGGCGAUUGGUAACAACUGAUAUCGAAAGGCAGGGCGAAAGUUCUCCUCCGCGAACAUGGAAAGAUUCAGUCCUCUCCAUCCAAAGCCUCACCCAGAGCUUCCUCAGUAACAGACCAUGUGCGGUGGUAAUGAGGACCUGUGAUUAAUCUGCAGAUCCCUGUUUGACUGUAUACUGUCUGUUGCAAUUAAAUUGCA
Pristis pectinata (smalltooth sawfish) is the source of this 367-nucleotide long non-coding RNA. RefSeq lists it as uncharacterized. NCBI's taxonomy places the organism in Eukaryota, Metazoa, Chordata, Chondrichthyes, Rhinopristiformes, Pristidae. The transcript is spliced from 3 exons. The record is from RefSeq and is a predicted model, not a curated record.